Delphinapterus leucas (beluga whale) is the source of this 2326-nucleotide non-coding RNA. NCBI's taxonomy places the organism in Eukaryota, Metazoa, Chordata, Mammalia, Artiodactyla, Monodontidae. The record is from RefSeq and is a predicted model, not a curated record.
UAGGGUAAUUGUGAGGUUAAAUGAGUUAAUAUACAUAUGCUCAUUAAAACAGUUCCUGGCACAAAGUAAUUGCUAAAUAAGUAUUAGCCCUUAUUAUUCUUGUUAUUGUUUUUGUUUUAAGGAGUAUGAUCCUAGAAGAUGCUGGGUUGGCAAAAACUGAUACAAUCAGCACAGCUUCUUGGAUUUUCUGAUAUCUGGUUGCAACAAUUUUCAUGUGAUCCAACAAAAAAAGACACCACAGUGCAUUUCCAUAAUACAGUGACCUGAAUUUGCUGGGAGAGACUGUAGUCCAUCAGGAACAAUUUGAUGACAAGCUGAAACACAGGCCAUUGGAUAAAGGCUUUGGACUGAGAAGAAAGAGAACAGGGGGUCCGAGUUCUGGCUCUGAAUGACCUGCAUACCUUUUUGUAAUAGGACAAAAUAUCCCACAUUCUGGACCUCAGUUUCAUUACCUGUAAAAAGGAGAGCAGUAGACCAGAUGAUCUUUGAAGUUUUACUUUCGGCUGCAAAAUUCUGUGAUUUAAAUCUGGUUUUAGCUAUGGUAACUAUGAAGCAACAUGAUAGCUGUAAGAGGCUAAUGAUUACAUAUUCUGUAACACCAAAUUGAAAAAGCAAAAAUAUAAUUGAAAUUCCUUCAAGAGUCAUCCAAUUGCUCAUGGGGCAGUGCCGUGGCAAGUAUUAUAUUAUUCCCCACUUUUAAUGUUUCCUUUCAUUGAAGGGAUAUCCAUCAUGCAACACUCCUGGCAUCUCUCUGCACUAUCACUCACUCUUUUCUUGGGGAGAUACAGUGAUUUGUCUAGAUACAGCAGGUGAGUUUAGAAGGAGAAUCAGGACAGGGUCGCUAGCCCUUCCCCUGGAAUCCCCUUGGGAGCUGGUGUCCCUGCAGAGAAUGUGUGUCCUGCUCUGUUCCUUCAUGCUAUCAGUUAAUAGGGCCAAGGCCCUACCUGGGGAGCUCUGUAGUCACCGUGGGUAAAGUUGUCUAGUUCUGGGGUCUAGUGUUAGGAAAACAUUUGGUUCUUAAGUCCAAGCCACAUUCUGCAAUAUCCGCUUUCUUAGUAGCAAACACGAUAUUUUGAUUUCCUUGUGUCGUAUUUUUGGGGUCUAUUUCUAAAGUAGUUCGGAACUUGGAUGACAUGCUAUUUUGGGGGUUCCCUGAAGUCUCAAUGAGCAGCACUAGAUUGUAAUCACAGAUGACUUUGGCCAUGAACUUUCCACUUAGAUGCAUGCAGGUCUUCUCCCAGCCUUGAAUGUUUCUGGUAAGGUCUCAACAUCAUCACUGCGAAUUCUGGCCUUUGGUAUGCCAGAGAUCAUCUCAGCCAACAAUUACACAGCUGCAUGGCACCCACGGUUCUAAAAUGGAAGCCAAAUAUUUAAACGAUCACCAUGUGCCUUAAAUAUAUUGCAUCCAACUUGUUACAGAGCUGAAUCAGGAUGGGAAGGAAGAAGCAUUUAUUACAUGAUGUGGCUGUUGGCUGAAAUUUGAAUAAUUGAUCUACCCUUAUUACAAUUUGUUUUCCCCCUGAAUCCAGAAAGAAGAACAGCUUGAAGUCACAGAAACUAUGUAGUUUAAUACAUAUUUGAGGGCCUGGUAUAAUGCCUGGACUUCUUUAGGUACUAGGGGAUACAGCAGUGGACUAAAUGCACAAAAAUUCAUAUCCUCAAGGAACUUGUAUUUUAGUGGGAGGAGACACAAUAACCAAAGUAAACAAGCAAAUAAAGGAAAUAAAUAAUGUAAAUAAAUGCAGUAUAGUGGUACAGUGUCUGGAGUCAAACAGCCUGGGGUCAGGGCUCUAUCACUUAUAAGCCAUAUGACUUUAACCUCUAUGUACCUCAGUUUCCUCAUCUGUAAAAUGGGGUUAAUAAAACUUGGGAAGGUUUAUCAUGAACCAAUGCCCAGGGUUCUAGGAACUGCAAGAGGGCUAUGUAACUGAAGAGCAGAAUGCAAUAGAGAGGGGUCGUGGAUUGGGACUCCUUAGAAAAAGAGCCUAAGACAGGAAUUCAGGUGCCUAUGGUUUAUCGAGGAUGUGCUCUCAGGAAAAAGGGAGAGAGAAAACCAGAAGAGAGCAGAUGAAGGAGUUAAGCAAGGAUGAGGCCUCAGCUGGUGCAGACUGGCCCAUGGGGAGCUCUGGAGCAUGAACUGCACUGCAGAUUGUGUCCCCCGCUUGAGACCAGCGGGCUGGCCUUUUGUACCCCGAAAUCGGUGAGUCACUGGCAGUGGGCUGCCAGGGGAGAUAGUUCUUAGUCCCUUUGUGCUGCUAUUACAAGAACCACAGACUGUGUAGCUUAUAAACAACAGAAAUUUAUUUGUCACAGUUGUGGAGGCUGG